Molecule: non-coding RNA, 1752 nt
Filed under: Roseivivax isoporae LMG 25204
Lineage: Bacteria; Pseudomonadati; Pseudomonadota; Alphaproteobacteria; Rhodobacterales; Roseobacteraceae
Description: Bacterial large subunit ribosomal RNA
Rfam family: Bacterial large subunit ribosomal RNA
Source: Rfam by way of RNAcentral
CAGGAGGUUGGCUUAGAAGCAGCCAUCCUUUAAAGAUAGCGUAACAGCUCACUGGUCUAAACAAGCUGUCUUGCGGCGAAGAUGUAACGGGGCUCAAGCCAUGAGCCGAAGCUGAGGACGCGAGAGCGUGGUAGCGGAGCGUGGUGUGACAUAGCUUCAUUCCUCCUUCGAUCCUUCGGGAUCACUGGAGGAGAGAAGCUUUCUGUGAAGCCGGCCUGUGAGGGAUCCGGUGGAGAGAUCACCAGCGAGAAUGAUGACAUGAGUAGCGACAAGGAGUGUGAGAGACACUCCCGCCGAAAGUCCAAGGGUUCCUGCUUAAAGCUAAUCUGAGCAGGGUAAGCCGGCCCCUAAGGCGAGGCCGAAAGGCGUAGUCGAUGGGAACCAGGUGAAUAUUCCUGGGCCAGGAGAUGGUGACGGAUUGCGAGGAUUGUUCGCCCUUAUCGGAUUGGGCGGGCAGUUUAGCAGUCCCUGGAAAUAGCCCUCCAUAGGACCGUACCCUAAACCGACACAGGUGGACUGGUAGAGAAUACCAAGGCGCUUGAGAGAACGACGUUGAAGGAACUCGGCAAAAUACCUCCGUAAGUUCGCGAGAAGGAGGCCCGGUUUUUGCGCAAGCAGAGGCCGGGGGCACAAACCAGGGGGUGGCGACUGUUUACUAAAAACACAGGGCUCUGCGAAGUCGCAAGACGACGUAUAGGGUCUGACGCCUGCCCGGUGCCUGAAGGUUAAAAGGAGGGGUUCACGCUCCGAAUUGAAGCCCAGGUAAACGGCGGCCGUAACUAUAACGGUCCUAAGGUAGCGAAAUUCCUUGUCGGGUAAGUUCCGACCUGCACGAAUGGCGUAACGACUUCCCCGCUGUCUCCAACGUCGACUCAGCGAAAUUGAAUUGCCUGUCAAGAUGCAGGCUACCCGCGGUUAGACGGAAAGACCCCGUGCACCUUUACUACAGCUUCAGACUGGCACCAGGCCUGCGAUGUGCAGGAUAGGUGGUAGGCGUCGAAGCGGGAACGCUAGUUCUCGUGGAGCCAUCCUUGAGAUACCACCCUUCGUUCGCUUGGUGUCUAACCGCGGCCCGUUAUCCGGGUCCGGGACCCUCUGUGGCGGGUAGUUUGACUGGGGCGGUCGCCUCCUAAAGCGUAACGGAGGCGCGCGAAGGUUGGCUCAGAGCGGUCGGAAAUCGCUCGUUGAGUGCAAUGGCAGAAGCCAGCCUGACUGCGAGACUGACAAGUCGAGCAGAGUCGAAAGACGGCCAUAGUGAUCCGGUGGUCCCAAGUGGGAGGGCCAUCGCUCAACGGAUAAAAGGUACGCCGGGGAUAACAGGCUGAUACUGCCCAAGAGUCCAUAUCGACGGCAGUGUUUGGCACCUCGAUGUCGGCUCAUCUCAUCCUGGGGCUGGAGCAGGUCCCAAGGGUACGGCUGUUCGCCGUUUAAAGAGGUACGUGAGCUGGGUUUAGAACGUCGUGAGACAGUUCGGUCCCUAUCUGCCGUGGGUGUAGGAGACUUGAGAGGAGUUGACCCUAGUACGAGAGGACCGGGUUGAACGAUCCACUGGUGGACCUGUUGUCGUGCCAACGGCAGUGCAGGGUAGCUAUGAUCGGACAGGAUAACCGCUGAAGGCAUCUAAGCGGGAAGCCCCCCUCAAAACAAGGUCUCCCUGAGGGCCGUGGUAGACGACCACGUCGAUAGGCCGGAGGUGUACGCGCAGCAAUGCGCUCAGCUGACCGGUACUAAUGGCCCGACAGGCUUGAUCCG